UACGUAGGGUCCGAGCGUUGUCCGGAGUUACUGGGCGUAAAGCGCGCGCAGGUGGUUCAGUACGUCUGGCGUGAAAGCCCCCGGCUCAACUGGGGAGGGUCGUCGGAGACUGCUGGACUUGAGGGCAGGAGGGGUUGGUGGAAUUCCCGGUGUAGUGGUGAAAUGCGUAGAGAUCGGGAGGAACACCGAUGGCGAAGGCAGCCCCCUGGGCUAACACUGACGCUCAUGCACGAAAGCGUGGGGAGCAAACAGG
Molecule: ribosomal RNA, 253 nt
Filed under: uncultured bacterium
Lineage: Bacteria
Description: partial 16S ribosomal RNA
Rfam family: Bacterial small subunit ribosomal RNA
Source: RNAcentral